AGCACUAAUCAAAUCUAAGACUAGUAAUAAGCAUCCUGAGUAAUGAGUGGCCUGGGCCGGAGCAGGCGAGGUGGCCGGAGCCGUGUGGACCAGGAGGAGCGCUGGUCACUCAGCUGCCGCAAGGAGCAAGGCAAGUUCUAUGACCAUCUCCUGAGGGACUGCAUCAGCUGUGCCUCCAUCUGUGGACAGCACCCUAAGCAAUGUGCAUACUUCUGUGAGAACAAGCUCAGGAGCCCAGUGAACCUUCCACCAGAGCUCAGGAGACAGCGGAGUGGAGAAGUUGAAAACAAUUCAGACAACUCGGGAAGGUACCAAGGAUUGGAGCACAGAGGCUCAGAAGCAAGUCCAGAAAACUGGGCAUCUUCAUGGUCCUAGAAGGAUCCCAGGAGGCUGAUCCUAUAGAGACGUCUGGUUCCUGACCCCAACUGCCUCCAGGUGCCUGGAACAGCCCAUCGUGGGCCCUUUACCCUCAGCAGGUGGACGCCGUUGGUCCUGCCAGGGCAAGUGUGUGUCUGUCUUAGGGCAUUUGGGAACAAUGGGCCUCUCUGUCCAGG
This 554-nucleotide long non-coding RNA is filed under the name Homo sapiens (human). RNAcentral's name for it is "non-protein coding lnc-TNFRSF13B-5:1". Lineage: Eukaryota; Metazoa; Chordata; Mammalia; Primates; Hominidae. The record is from RNAcentral.